RNAcentral lists this ribosomal RNA (429 nucleotides) under uncultured bacterium. Its description in RNAcentral is "partial 16S ribosomal RNA". It matches the Rfam family "Bacterial small subunit ribosomal RNA", at positions 338 to 795 of the family's 1533-position model. The record is from RNAcentral.
CCUACGGGAGGCUGCAGUGGGGAAUUUUGGACAAUGGGCGCAAGCCUGAUCCAGCAAUGCCGCGUGCAGGAUGAAGGCCUUCGGGUUGUAAACUGCUUUUGUGAACCGCUCGGUACCGUAAGAAUAAGCACCGGCUAACUACGUGCCAGCAGCCGCGGUAAUACGUAGGGUGCGAGCGUUAAUCGGAAUUACUGGGCGUAAAGCGUGCGCAGGCGGUUAUAUAAGACAGAUGUGAAAUCCCCGGGCUCAACCUGGGACCUGCAUUUGUGACUGUAUAGCUAGAGUACGGUAGAGGGGGAUGGAAUUCCGCGUGUAGCAGUGAAAUGCGUAGAUAUGCGGAGGAACACCGAUGGCGAAGGCAAUCCCCUGGCCGUACUGACGCUCAUGCACGAAAGCGGGGGAGCAAACAGGAUUAGAUACCUUGUAGUC